Long non-coding RNA from Stegastes partitus (bicolor damselfish), 497 nucleotides. RefSeq lists it as uncharacterized. Lineage: Eukaryota; Metazoa; Chordata; Actinopteri; Pomacentridae. The transcript has 2 exons. The record is from RefSeq and is a predicted model, not a curated record.
UAUGGUUUCUGAGUUUAGGUCACAUGGGUCGGUUGCUAUGGUUACUGAGUUUAUGUCACAUAGUUUGGUUGCUAUGGUUACUGAUUUUAGGUCACAUAGGUCGGUUUCUAUGGUUACUGAUUUUAGGUCACAUGGGUCGGUUGCUAUGGUUACUGAUUUUAGAUCACAUGGUCCGGUUGCUAUGGUUACUGAGUUUAGGUCACAUGGUUCAGUUGCUAUGGUGCCUCCAUACUGAGGUCACACGGUGUGGUUGCCGUGGCGACUGCUGCAGGUUAUAAUGAGCGUAUUGUUGAAGCAGAACAACAGCAGCUUGUUUAUGUUGUGAGCUGCAGCCGACCAAUCAGACGGACAGAAGGACAAACGGACGACUCAUCCUGAUGAUGUCGCUUCCUGUCUCCUGUUGAUUUAAAUGAUUGAUUUGUGUCAUUUUAUUUUACUAAAUCUUUACAAUCUGACAAGAUGUGAAUUAUUUGAAAUGUUUAAACUUCUAAUUAUUU